RNAcentral lists this ribosomal RNA (253 nucleotides) under uncultured bacterium. Its description in RNAcentral is "partial 16S ribosomal RNA". It matches the Rfam family "Bacterial small subunit ribosomal RNA", at positions 524 to 776 of the family's 1533-position model. The record is from RNAcentral.
UACAGAGGUCUCGAGCGUUAGGCGGAAUCACUGGGCUUAAAGCGUGUGUAGGCGGCGGGCUAAGUACCUUGUGAAAUCCCACGGCUUAACUGUGGAACUGCUGGGUAUACUGGUUCGCUUGAGCGGUCUAGGGGCGAGCGGAACAAAUGGUGGAGCGGUGAAAUGCGUUGAUAUCAGAAGGAACGCCGGUGGCGAAAGCGACGCACUGGACCUCUUCUGACGCUGAGGCGCGAAAGCUAGGGGAGCAAACGGG